This 468-nucleotide ribosomal RNA is filed under the name uncultured bacterium. RNAcentral's name for it is "partial 16S ribosomal RNA". It matches the Rfam family "Bacterial small subunit ribosomal RNA", at positions 28 to 507 of the family's 1533-position model. The record is from RNAcentral.
GACGAACGCUGGCGGCGUGCUUAACACAUGCAAGUCGAACGGAAAGGCCCCGCUUUUGUUGGGUGCUCGAGUGGCGAACGGGUGAGUAACACGUGAGUAACCUGCCCUUGACUUUGGGAUAACUUCAGGAAACUGGGGCUAAUACCGGAUAGGAGCUCCUGCUGCAUGGUGGGGGUUGGAAAGUUUCGGCGGUUGGGGAUGGACUCGCGGCUUAUCAGCUUGUUGGUGGGGUAGUGGCUUACCAAGGCUUUGACGGGUAGCCGGCCUGAGAGGGUGACCGGCCACAUUGGGACUGAGAUACGGCCCAGACUCCUACGGGAGGCAGCAGUGGGGAAUAUUGCACAAUGGGCGGAAGCCUGAAGCAGCAACGCCGCGUGCGGGAUGACGGCCUUCGGGUUGUAAACCGCUUUCGCCUGUGACGAAGCGUGAGUGACGGUAAUGGGUAAAGAAGCACCGGCUAACUACGUG